AUGAAGGAUGCUGGGUAUGGUAUACUUCCCACUAUUCUCUCAGUAUGUCAUUCUCCUGAUUGGUUGAUUGACACGAGUGCUAAUGUGCAUGUAUGUGGUGAUAUUACCAUGUUUUCGUCUUAUCAGACCGCAGGGACUUCAACCGUGCUGAUGGGCAACGGUUCAAGUUCUUCUGUUCAUGGUGUUGGCACGGUCGAUCUGAAGUUUACUUCGGGGAAGAUCGUGCGGCUGAAGAACAUGCAUUAUGUCCCCUCCGUCAAUAAAAAUCUUGUUAGCGGAUCUCUUCUGUGUAGAGAUGGCUACAAGCUUGUCUUUGAGUCAAAUAAAUUUGUAAUAUUCAAGUAUGGAACCUUUGUUGGUAAAGGCUAUGAGUCAGGAGGCCUGUUUCGUUUAUCCUUAUCAGACGUUUGCAAUAAAGUUGUUAAUCAUAUUUGCAACAAUAGUGAAUCAAAUGUAUGGCAUUCACGUCUUUGUCAUGUUAACUUUGGUUGCAUGUUGCGACUAGCGAAGUUGAACUUAAUCCCUAGUUUCACCACUGUCAAGGGAUCUAAGUGUCAAGUAUGUGUGCAAGCUAAGCAACCUCGUAAGACUCACGUGACUGCGGAGACGAGAAAUCUUGCACCACUAGAACUUAUACAUUCAGAUCUAUGUGAAAUGAAUGGUGUUUUGACAAAAGAUGGAAAGAAAUAUUUCAUGACGUUAAUUGACGACUCCACUAGAUACUGCCGUGUUAUCUUCUGA
Molecule: ribosomal RNA, 741 nt
Filed under: Triticum aestivum (bread wheat)
Lineage: Eukaryota; Viridiplantae; Streptophyta; Magnoliopsida; Poales; Poaceae
Description: partial small subunit ribosomal RNA
Source: RNAcentral